UACAGAGGUCCCAAGCGUUGUUCGGAUUCACUGGGCAUAAAGGGUGCGUAGGCGGCCGUGUAAGUCUGACGUGAAAUCUUCAAGCUUAACUUGGAAACUGCGUCGGAUACUACUCGGCUUGAGGGAUGGAGGGGUGACUGGAAUACUUGGUGUAGCAGUGAAAUGCGUAGAUAUCAAGUGGAACACCAGUGGCGAAGGCGAGUCUCUGGACAUUUCCUGACGCUGAGGCACGAAAGCUAGGGGAGCAAACGGG
RNAcentral lists this ribosomal RNA (253 nucleotides) under uncultured bacterium. RNAcentral describes it as "partial 16S ribosomal RNA". It matches the Rfam family "Bacterial small subunit ribosomal RNA", at positions 524 to 776 of the family's 1533-position model. The record is from RNAcentral.